Molecule: long non-coding RNA, 575 nt
Organism: Trifolium pratense (red clover)
Lineage: Eukaryota; Viridiplantae; Streptophyta; Magnoliopsida; Fabales; Fabaceae
Exons: 2
Source: RefSeq, a predicted model, not a curated record
UAAAGUGCUAAAGGGACGUGUUAACAUAUUGUUGUACUUAAGAGACAUUUAAUAAUUAUUAAAAUUUUAGAAAGUCUUUAUAUAACUCUGUAAGUGCAAAAAACUAUUUAAUUAAUAUAAGGAGAACAUAAGUUUUAUAAAUUAAGAAGUGAUAAAACAUAUUCUAUUCGAUACAUGCAAAAGUUGGAAAAUAUGGCUAAAUUUGUGAACUUUGCUUUUGUUAUGAAUAUCCUUCUUUCCCUGUUUCUUGUUGCAACAAGCUCUAGAUGGAACGUUCAAUGUGUUUAUGAUGGUGAUUGUAUAAAGGAAGUUAAUUGCGAAUUUCCUGCUCAACCGAGGUGUCGUAAAAGUGUGUGUGAAUGUCGUUAUUAAUUAUCAAGCACCACAUAUUAGCUCCCAAUAAUUUAAUUUCUAUGAGUUGUUAUAUAGUUAUUGUGAUGGCUCCCAAUAAUUUAAUUUUUUUUUAGCUUUUAAAAUUUUACGGACCUUAUUAUUAUGUACAAUAAGAUUAUGCUAUUGAUAUGAAAUAAAGCAUAAAAACUGUUAUGUGAAAUAAAGCUAUUGAUAUUUGCACA